AAUGAUAGAUGCUGUGAGUGUAAUGCCCCUGAUCCCGAGUGGCUAUCGGUCAAUCUUGGUCUACUGAUAUGCAUUCAUUGCUCCGGGCGGCACAGGGAACUGGGUGUCCAGUAUUCACGCAUUCGAUCACUUAAAUUGGAUGCUCUGAAAACAUCCGAACUACUAAUAGCACGAGUGAUGGGUAAUGCAGUGCUUAAUGAAGUAAUGGAGGCUAAUCUAACUGAUCCUAAACCAUCACCUGAUUCUGACAUUGAAACACGGCGUCACUUUAUUGUUGAGAAGUACACUAAUAGAAAGUAUAUAGAGCACCAGGUGGACCCUUCAGUAUUGAGCCAAGAGCUACUGGAAGCAAUUGAGCUAAGAGAUAUCAAGCAUCUCCU
Long non-coding RNA from Amphimedon queenslandica, 380 nucleotides. RefSeq lists it as uncharacterized. The record is from RefSeq and is a predicted model, not a curated record. NCBI's taxonomy places the organism in Eukaryota, Metazoa, Porifera, Demospongiae, Haplosclerida, Niphatidae. The transcript has 3 exons.